This 253-nucleotide ribosomal RNA is filed under the name uncultured bacterium. RNAcentral's name for it is "partial 16S ribosomal RNA". It matches the Rfam family "Bacterial small subunit ribosomal RNA", at positions 524 to 776 of the family's 1533-position model. The record is from RNAcentral.
UACGUAGGGAGCAAGCGUUGUCCGGAAUCAUUGGGCGUAAAGCGCGCGUAGGUGGCUUUGUAAGUCCGCUGUGAAAGUCAAAGGCUCAACCUUUGAAAGCCGGUGGAUACUGUGGAGCUAGAGUCCGGAAGAGGCGAGUGGAAUUCCUGGUGUAGCGGUGGAAUGCGCAGAUAUCAGGAGGAACACCAAUAGCGAAGGCAGCUCGCUGGGACGGUACUGACACUGAGGCGCGAAAGCGUGGGGAGCGAACAGG